Molecule: ribosomal RNA, 433 nt
Filed under: uncultured bacterium
Lineage: Bacteria
Description: partial 16S ribosomal RNA
Rfam family: Bacterial small subunit ribosomal RNA
Source: RNAcentral
AACGAACGCUGGCGGCAUGCCUAACACAUGCAAGUCGAACGAGACCUUCGGGUCUAGUGGCGCACGGGUGCGUAACGCGUGGGAACCUGCCCUUAGGUUCGGAAUAACUCCCCGAAAGGGGUGCUAAUACCGGAUAAUGUCUUCGGACCAAAGAUUUAUCGCCUCUGGAUGGGCCCGCGUUGGAUUAGCUAGUUGGUAGGGUAAAAGCCUACCAAGGCGACGAUCCAUAGCUGGUCUGAGAGGAUGAUCAGCCACACUGGGGCUGAGACACGGCCCAGACUCCUACGGGAGGCAGCAGUGGGGAAUAUUGGACAAUGGGCGAAAGCCUGAUCCAGCAAUGCCGCGUGAGUGAUGAAGGCCUUAGGGUUGUAAAGCUCUUUUACCCGGGAUGAUAAUGACAGUACCGGGAGAAUAAGCUCCGGCUAACUCCGUG